CACAUCAUGAAAAGCCGCGUUGUACCCGGUAAGUCGCUGUGCCAACUCGCAAGAGAGGCAGGUGCCGAAGGUAUGGGUGGUGAUUGGGAGUG
This 92-nucleotide ribosomal RNA is filed under the name uncultured bacterium. RNAcentral's name for it is "partial 16S ribosomal RNA". The record is from RNAcentral.